RNAcentral lists this ribosomal RNA (500 nucleotides) under uncultured bacterium. Its description in RNAcentral is "bacterial SSU rRNA". It matches the Rfam family "Bacterial small subunit ribosomal RNA", at positions 170 to 644 of the family's 1533-position model. The record is from RNAcentral.
CGAAUAAGACCACGAUGGCCUCGGCCAUUGGGGUCAAAGAUGGCCUCUGCCUGCAAGCUGUCGAUUGAGGAUGAGCCCGCGUCCCAUUAGCUAGUUGGUGGGGUAAUGGCCCACCAAGGCAACGAUGGGUAGCUGGUCUGAGAGGAUGGCCAGCCACACUGGAACUGGAACACGGUCCAGACUCCUACGGGAGGCAGCAGUGAGGAAUUUUGCGCAAUGGGGGAAACCCUGACGCAGCAACGCCGCGUGAGUGAUGAAGGCCUUCGGGUUGUAAAGCUCUGUCAAGUGGGAAGAAACUUUUUCGGCUGAAUAAUCCGAAAAACUGACGGUACCACUGAAGGAAGCACCGGCUAACUCCGUGCCAGCAGCCCGCGGUAAUACGGAGGGUGUAAGCGUUAUUCGGAUUUAUUGGGCGUAAAGGGCGUGUAGGCGGUCUGAACAGUCAGGUGUGAAAGCCCCUUGGCUUAACCAAGGAAGUGCACUUGAAACUAUCAGACUUU